UGGGGAAUAUUGCGCAAUGGGCGAAAGCCUGACGCAGCGACGCCGCGUGGGGGAUGAAGCUUCUCGGAGUGUAAACCCCUUUCGACCCGGACGAAUGACCCGCAAGGGUUUGACGGUACGGGUAUAAGAAGCCCCGGCUAACUACGUGCCAGCAGCCGCGGUAAUACGUAGGGGGCCAGCGUUGCUCGGAAUUACUGGGCGUAAAGGGUUCGUAGGUGGUGCGGCAAGUUGGAAGUGAAAUCUCUGGGCUUAACCCAGAGGCUGCUUUCAAAACUGCCGUGCUCGAGUGCGAGAGAGGCCAGUGGAAUUGCAGGUGUAGCGGUGAAAUGCGUAGAUAUCUGCAGGAACACCCGUGGCGAAGGCGGCUGGCUGGAUCGCAACUGACACUGAGGAACGAAAGCUAGGGGAGCAAACAGGAUUAGAUACCCUGGUAGUCCUAGCCCUAAACCAUCAGGACUUGGGGUGGCCCGCGUAGGCGGGUCGUCCCGUAGCUAACGCGUUAAGUCCUGCGCCUGGGGAGUACGGUCGCAAGACUG
Molecule: ribosomal RNA, 536 nt
Filed under: uncultured bacterium
Lineage: Bacteria
Description: bacterial SSU rRNA
Rfam family: Bacterial small subunit ribosomal RNA
Source: RNAcentral